CAAUUAGCUACGUAGUGACCUGCGGAAGGAUCAUUACAAGUGAGGCUACCGAACGUUGGAAACAGCGGUUAGGAGCUUACACCCACCCGUGUCUACAUACUAUUGUUGCUUUGGCGGGCCGUGGCCUCCACUGCGGGCUCUGCUCGUGUGUGCCCGCCAGAGAACCAAACUCUGAAUGUUAGUGAUGUCUGAGUACUAUCUAAUAGUUAAAACUUUCAACAACGGAUCUCUUGGUUCUGGCAUCGAUGAAGAACGCAGCGAAAUGCGAUAAGUAAUGUGAAUUGCAGAAUUCAGUGAAUCAUCGAAUCUUUGAACGCACAUUGCGCCCUGUGGUAUUCCGCAGGGCAUGCCUGUUCGAGCGUCAUUUAACCACUCACGCCUAGCGUGGUAUUGGGGCACGCGGUCUCCGCGGCCCUCAAAAUUAGUGGCGGCGCCGGUGGGCUCUAAGCGUAGUACAUACUCCCGCUAUAGAGUUCCCCCGGUGGCUCGCCAGAACCCCCAAUUUUUACAGGUUGACCUCGGAUCAGGUAGGGAUACCCGCUGAACUUAAGCAUAUCA
This 558-nucleotide ribosomal RNA is filed under the name Phialocephala fortinii. Its description in RNAcentral is "eukaryotic LSU rRNA". The stretch from base 211 to 364 matches the Rfam family "5.8S ribosomal RNA". Lineage: Eukaryota; Fungi; Ascomycota; Leotiomycetes; Helotiales; Mollisiaceae. The record is from RNAcentral.